Molecule: non-coding RNA, 23 nt
Filed under: Cricetulus griseus (Chinese hamster)
Lineage: Eukaryota; Metazoa; Chordata; Mammalia; Rodentia; Cricetidae
Source: RNAcentral
AAGGAUGCUAUAAAGGCCAGAUG